AGGAUGAACGCUGGCGGCGUGCUUAACACAUGCAAGUCGAACGAUGAAGGCUGGAGCUUGCUCUGGCUGGAUUAGUGGCGAACGGGUGAGUAACACGUGAGUAACCUGCCCCAGACUCUGGGAUAAGCGCUGGAAACGGCGUCUAAUACCGGAUACGAGCUUCCACCGCAUGGUGAGGAGCUGGAAAGAAUUUCGGUCUGGGAUGGACUCGCGGCCUAUCAGCUUGUUGGUGAGGUAAUGGCUCACCGAGGGCGACGACGGGUAGCCGGCCUGGAGAGGGUGACCGGCCACACGUGGGACUGAGACACGGCCCAGACCUCCUACGGGAGCAGCAGUAGGGAAUAUGGACAAGUGGGCGCAAGCCUGAUCCAGCAAUGCCGCGUGAGUGAUGAAGGUACCUUAGGGUUAGUAAAGUCUUACUUUUAACCCGAGUAU
This 435-nucleotide ribosomal RNA is filed under the name uncultured soil bacterium. RNAcentral describes it as "bacterial SSU rRNA". It matches the Rfam family "Bacterial small subunit ribosomal RNA", at positions 26 to 452 of the family's 1533-position model. The record is from RNAcentral.